Molecule: long non-coding RNA, 852 nt
Filed under: Volvox carteri
Lineage: Eukaryota; Viridiplantae; Chlorophyta; Chlorophyceae; Chlamydomonadales; Volvocaceae
Description: long non-coding RNA (VCAR_LNC003464)
Source: RNAcentral
CCAUGUUUUAUGGCCCCUAUAAUAAAAACGCUCAAGUCAAAGAGGUGUAUGUGUUGUCAAGCCGUACUGGCGCAUUGUUAUCCCUGAUGCUGUUACAGUGCCGCGCCCAACCCGUUCCGUUCACAAUCUGAAGUGGCCUCGUCCUCCAGUUGACCCCAAAGCCUUCAUACCCCAGGAGAAGGUUCUGUGCAACGCAAGCGGUGCAGCGUGCCCUUCCGCACGUGCCGCGUGUCCGUCUCUUAAAGAACUUGUCGGCCCAUGUGUGCACGAUCACGCAUGGUGACUUGUAGGCACAGGUACGUCCACUCCCGUGUCGACCGACUCGCGGAAACACAACGUCUCAACCUGAACAGACGCCUCACCAAAACACCAAUCCGACCCGAUCGGACAACGAUGUAAGCCACUGCCAAGUUUCUUACACGCCACGCGAUUACCAGCCCCCAUCAGUAACUCCAACUCCAACCCACCUCCCAUCAACGCAAGACAGUCCACACACAAUACAAUAACUAAAUCCCAAAACCACCCUCUGAGGCAAGGUCGCCUCCCACGCACUGGACACUCCCACGCAUUCCCUUUUCCGCCUUUUCCCCCCUUUCCCUGGUCCAGCUCAUUCCGUGCUCUGCUGCUGCUGCUGCUGGUGUGGGCCGCAAGGGCGGAGCCGCACCCCGUGAGAGGAGAUCACUUGAGCGAGUUGUAGAAGAGGAUGAGGAUGGUCCCCACCACCAGCAUCACGGGGAUGGCGCUCACGCCGUACAGCACGCCGUACCCCACCCAGCCGGGCAGCAUGUCCGUCAUGGACUGCGGCUUCUCUCCCUUGCGGAGCUCGUCGCCCAUCACAUACGGCUUCACGAC